Molecule: unclassified non-coding RNA, 377 nt
Filed under: plant metagenome
Description: partial contains 5.8S ribosomal RNA, internal transcribed spacer 2, and large subunit ribosomal RNA
Rfam family: 5.8S ribosomal RNA (bases 1-104)
Source: RNAcentral
AAAUGCGAUAAGUAAUGUGAAUUGCAGAAUUCAGUGAAUCAUCGAAUCUUUGAACGCACCUUGCGCUCCUUGGUAUUCCUUGGAGCAUGCCUGUUUGAGUAUCAUGAAAUCUUCAAAGUAAAUCUUUUGUUAACUCAAUUGGUUUCUACUUUGGUAUUGGAGGUCUUUGCAGCUUCACACCUGCUCCUCUUUGUUCAUUAGCUGGAUCUCAGUGUUAUGCUUGGUUCCACUCGGCGUGAUAAGUUAUCUAUCGCUGAGGACACUGUAAAAGGUGGCCAAGGUAAAUGCAGAUGAACCGCUUCUAAUAGUCCAUUGACUUGGACAAUACUUUUAUGAUCUGAUCUCAAAUCAGGUAGGACUACCCGCUCAACUUAAGC